This 276-nucleotide ribosomal RNA is filed under the name uncultured bacterium. RNAcentral describes it as "partial 16S ribosomal RNA". It matches the Rfam family "Bacterial small subunit ribosomal RNA", at positions 333 to 607 of the family's 1533-position model. The record is from RNAcentral.
GGGUCCCACGGGGGGCAGCAGUGAGGAAUAUUGGUCAAUGGUCGGGAGACUGAACCAGCCAAGCCGCGUGAGGGAUGAAGGUACAGAGUAUCGUAAACCUCUUUUGUCAGGGAACAAAGGCGGGGACGCGUCCCCGGAUGAGUGUACCUGAAGAAAAAGCAUCGGCUAACUCCGUGCCAGCAGCCGCGGUAAUACGGAGGAUGCGAGCGUUAUCCGGAUUUAUUGGGUUUAAAGGGGGCGCAGGCGGUCUGUUAAGUCAGCGCGCAAAGCCCGGGG